CCUACGGGGGGCAGCAGUGGGGAAUAUUGCACAAUGGAGGAAACCCUGAUGCAGCGACGCCGCGUGAGUGAAGAAGUAUUUCGGUAUGUAAAGCUCUGUCAGCAGGGAAGAAAAUGACGGUACCUGACCAAGAAGCCCCGGCUAACUACGUGCCAGCAGCCGCGGUAAUACGGAGGGGGCACACGUUAUCCGGAUUUACUGGGUGUAAAGGGAGCGUAGACGGCAGGGCAAGUCUGGAGUGAAAGGCGGGGGCUCAACCCCCGGACUGCUCUGGAAACUGGCAGGCUGGAGUGCAGGAGAGGUAAGUGGAAUUCCUAGGGUAGCGGUGAAAUGCGUAGAUAUUAGGAGGAACACCAGUGGCGAAGGCGGCUUACUGGACUGUAACUGACGUUGAGGCUCGAAAGCGUGGGGAGCAAACAGGAUUAGAUACCCGGGUAGUC
Molecule: ribosomal RNA, 440 nt
Filed under: uncultured bacterium
Lineage: Bacteria
Description: partial 16S ribosomal RNA
Rfam family: Bacterial small subunit ribosomal RNA
Source: RNAcentral